This 319-nucleotide unclassified non-coding RNA is filed under the name uncultured Tremellomycetes. RNAcentral's name for it is "sequence contains ITS2". The stretch from base 1 to 52 matches the Rfam family "5.8S ribosomal RNA", at positions 103 to 154 of the family's 154-position model. Lineage: Eukaryota; Fungi; Basidiomycota; Tremellomycetes. The record is from RNAcentral.
AACGCACCUUGCGCUCUAUGGUAUUCCGUAGAGCAUGCCUGUUUGAGUGUCAUGAAAACAAUCAACCUUGACUUUGGGUAACCCUGAAGGCUCGGCUUGGACUUGGGUGUUUGCUAGUGUCACAGCUUGCUCACCUUAAAUGUAUUAGCUGGAUUUGUCUAUUUGACUGGUUUGACUUGGCGUAAUAAGUAUUUCGCUAAGGACAUCUCUCGGGGUGGCCAGUUGAUUGACUGUAGUCUGCUUCUAACCUAUGCAUCUCUUCGGAGUCAUGACUUAACUAUUUGGCCUCAAAUCAGGUAGGACUACCCGCUGAACUUAA